GAUGAACGCUGGCGGCGUGCCUAAUACAUGCAAGUCGAGCGAACGGACGAGAAGCUUGCUUCUCUGAUGUUAGCGGCGGACGGGUGAGUAACACGUGGAUAACCUACCUAUAAGACUGGGAUAACUUCGGGAAACCGGAGCUAAUACCGGAUAAUAUUUUGAACCGCAUGGUUCAAAAGUAAAAGACGGUCUUGCUGUCACUUAUAGAUGGAUCCGCGCUGCAUUAGCUAGUUGGUAAGGUAACGGCUUACCAAGGCAACGAUGCAUAGCCGACCUGAGAGGGUGAUCGGCCACACUGGAACUGAGACACGGUCCAGACCCCUACGGGAGGCAGCAGUAGGGAAUCUUCCGCAAUGGGCGAAAGCCUGACGGAGCAACGCCGCGUGAGUGAUGAAGGUCUUCGGAUCGUAAAACUCUGUUAUUAGGGAAGAACAUAUGUGUAAGUAACUGUGCACAUCUUGACGGUACCUAAUCAGAAAGCCACGGCUAACUACGU
Molecule: ribosomal RNA, 496 nt
Filed under: uncultured bacterium
Lineage: Bacteria
Description: partial 16S ribosomal RNA
Rfam family: Bacterial small subunit ribosomal RNA
Source: RNAcentral